Molecule: transfer RNA, 65 nt
Filed under: Aplanochytrium sp. PBS07
Lineage: Eukaryota; Bigyra; Thraustochytrida; Thraustochytriidae
Rfam family: tRNA
About the family: Transfer RNA (tRNA) molecules are approximately 80 nucleotides in length. Their secondary structure includes four short double-helical elements and three loops (D, anti-codon, and T loops).
Source: RNAcentral
GAUGUGGCGCAGCGGAAGCGUGCUGGGCCCAUAACCCAGAGGUCGGUGGAUCGAAACCACUCAUC